UACGUAGGGUGCGAGCGUUAAUCGGAAUUACUGGGCGUAAAGCGUGCGCAGGCGGCUUUGCAAGACAGAUGUGAAAUCCCCGGGCUCAACCUGGGAACUGCAUUUGUGACUGCAAGGCUAGAGUACGGCAGAGGGGGAUGGAAUUCCGCGUGUAGCAGUGAAAUGCGUAGAUAUGCGGAGGAACACCAAUGGCGAAGGCAAUCCCCUGGGCCUGUACUGCCGCGCAUGCACGAAAGCGUGGGGAGCAAACAGG
This 253-nucleotide ribosomal RNA is filed under the name uncultured bacterium. Its description in RNAcentral is "partial 16S ribosomal RNA". It matches the Rfam family "Bacterial small subunit ribosomal RNA", at positions 524 to 776 of the family's 1533-position model. The record is from RNAcentral.